UACGUAGGGUGCGAGCGUUGUCCGGAAUUAUUGGGCGUAAAGAGCUUGUAGGCGGUUUGUCGCGCCUGCUGUGAAAAUCCGGGGCUCAACCCCGGACUUGCAGUGGGUACGGGCAGACUAGAGUGUGGUAGGGGAGACUGGAAUCCUGGUGUAGCGGUGAAAUGCGCAGAUAUCAGGAGGAACACCGGUAGCGGAAGGCGGGUCUCUGGGCCGUAACUGACGCUGGAGGAGCGGAAAGCAUGGGGAGCGAACAGGAUUAGAACUACCUUAGUC
RNAcentral lists this ribosomal RNA (273 nucleotides) under uncultured bacterium. Its description in RNAcentral is "partial 16S ribosomal RNA". It matches the Rfam family "Bacterial small subunit ribosomal RNA", at positions 524 to 795 of the family's 1533-position model. The record is from RNAcentral.